Molecule: unclassified non-coding RNA, 2651 nt
Filed under: Portunus trituberculatus (swimming crab)
Lineage: Eukaryota; Metazoa; Arthropoda; Malacostraca; Decapoda; Portunidae
Description: growth/differentiation factor 8-like, transcript variant X3
Source: RNAcentral
GGCGGGGAGAGGAGUCAGGUAGCUGUGGCCUAAGAUACCAGACCACGCCCUCCUGAAGCGGCGAGGCGUCCCAUUGGUUCGUGGCUUUCCUUCAGGAGGCGGGGCGGCCAAUGGGAGAGCGAGUUGAGUGGCUUCAAAAGUUAAUUGGUUCGAAUCUCGUCCCGGACACUCCCCCGCCAGCGGCACCAUGAACUCUGAGACAUAAUAUAUAAAAGAGCUUGUCAAUCUUGCAUCAGGUCUUACGGUGAACCCUAUACUGCGGUGAGUGCAAGGCGGAGCGGAGCCAAGUGAAGAUGCAGUGGAAACGCCUGGUUCUCGUGGCCCUGGUGGUGCUUCUUCAGGGCCUGGCGGAGGCGCGAUCCCGCAGGAACACCACCAGGACGCGGCAGAACAGAAGGACACAAGAGAGGUUCCGGCCUGUGGAAAGCAGGCUCAGUGACAACCAGGGGGACGUGGAGCCGCUUGCGCCGCCACACCACUCCCUCCGCCAGCAGCACGCGUACCGGGGCCAGCACGGCGGCAGGGUGCGGCACUUCCAGGGCAGGCACCACGGCCACCACCACACCCCGCACCACGCCCACCACCCCCAGCAGCUGGCCGCCGACCACCACGAGUGCCCUAAUUGCUAUCAGUUGGAGAUGCGCAAGAAACUUCGACUGGCGCAAAUAAAAGACCGCGUGCUGACCGCCACGGGGCUGAUCAACCCGCCUAACAUGACGGGCGUAGUGCUGUCCAGUAACCCAGACGUGCAGGGGAUUAUUCAGACAAUGGAGGUGCCCACGGCGUACCUCCAGGAGCCGCUCUAUAACGAAGACGAGCCAGAUGUCAAAACGGAAAUGCUGUUCUUUCCGGUUCAACCAGGUAACGGAUACACCCCGUCCCCAGCGCCUCCUGAUUUGAACAUUCCUGAGGGCACGGACGUAUUAUACUUCAACCUGAGCCGGACGCCUUUAGGGAACAGGGCCAAGAGAGCCAUCCUUCACGUGUGGCUUAAGCCCACCGUCUCUGAGCUCCUUAGACAAUUACCUGUGUCCAUUUUCAAGGUGUCCAGGCCCCAGAUACCCGGUGGCGAGAUUGAAAAGAAGUCCGUGACCACCGUGAUGGAGUCCUUUAACCCUUACGAAGGCAACUGGGUCAAAAUAGAGAUAUACCAGCUGCUGCAGGAGUGGCUGACGAGGCCGGAGGAGAACCUGGGGCUUGUCGUGGAGGCCUUAGAUUCCCAGGGGCAGCAGGUAGCAGUCACGGACCCACAGGAAUCACCCUCUAAUGCGCCGCUGCUAGAGAUCCACACGGAGGACUCCAACAGGUCGCGGUCUCGGCGGAACAGCGGCAACUUUAUGUGCACCAACGAGAACGAGUCUCGCUGCUGCCGCUACCACCUUACCGUCAACUUCGUGGAGAUGGGCUGGGACUUCAUCGUGGCGCCCAAGGUGUACGAGGCUAACUUCUGCAACGGCGAGUGUCCCUUCCUGUACGCCCACAAGUAUGCCCACACCGCCCUCAUCCAGAAGAUGAACAGCACCAACGCCCAGCACGGGCCCUGCUGCGGCGCCAGGAAGCUGUCGCCCAUGAAGAUGCUGUACUACGACCACGACCACAUGAUCAAGUUUGACAUCAUCAACGACAUGGUGGUGGACCGCUGCGGUUGCUCCUAAGACCCGCGCCACGCCGCGCCCCGCGUCCAGCGCCCAGCGCCACGCGCAGCGCCUCGCGCCCAGCGCCGCGUCGCCACUCCUAUAAGCAUCUGUGAUGGACACUAGGUCUUCUGUAAGGCUACCCUGCCCCGCCCGCCCCGCCCGCCCCGCCUCGCCCCGCCCGACGCCGCGCCGACCACCCAGCCCCUCCUUGCCCCAGUGCGUGCCUCGCCCCGCCUCGCCCCGCCACGCCACCCUCCACCACGGUGGCGGGGCGCGCCCAGGCGACGCCCUGUGCUGCUGCCGCUACUGUUGUUAUUGUUGUUGUUCCUGCUGCUGCUAUUACUGCUGCUGCUGCUGCUGCUGUCGCCGCGUUGCCGCCACUGCCGCCGCCGCCGCCGCCGCCGCCGCCGCCGCCGCUGCCACUGCUGCCGCCGCCGCCGCCACAGCUACCGCCGCCGCCACUGCAGCUGUGUUCGCUUCACCAGCACGUGCGGGUGGCGGGGCGCGGCCAGCACACAGGUGUUGCAGACAAUCAGUGCAAUGAUGUCCCACUCGCCGCCCCGCCCCUGCCGACCCGCCCCACCACCCGGGGACACGCCUCACCGGCCCAUACAGCCAUUCACCCAAAGGGAGGUGCGCACCCUGCCGGGCCACGCGCUGCAGUGGGUGCGGUGAGGAAGUGGCGCCGCGCAGGCCCGAGGCGGGAGUGAGGCACUGCGCGUCGCCGCCACUUUCCUGCUCAAUCUCCAGGGGCGCGGGGUGCCUGGGGGCGCGGCGCGGCGUGGUGCGGUCAAAGGCAGGGCAGGGCAGGGCAGGCGGGCGCCCCGUGAUGCCGCCGCGCCACUGCCGCCUCGAGGAGAGGAGUGCUUCAUUAGCCAGUGACUCCAGAGGGCCAGGAGGAAGAACUAGAGGAUCCUGAACCCCCACCUUGUUUAUACGGGGCGUUCCACUGGGUAACGGGCGACACACAAUACCUAACAGACUUUCUUGAACGCUGGCCUCUCCUAUCACCAG